AUUGAACGCUGGCGGCAUGCCUUACACAUGCAAGUCGAACGGCAGCACGGGUGCUUGCACCUGGUGGCGAGUGGCGAACGGGUGAGUAAUACAUCGGAACGUACCUUAUCGUGGGGGAUAACGCAGCGAAAGCUGUGCUAAUACCGCAUACGCCCUGAGGGGGAAAGCGGGGGAUCGCAAGACCUCGCGCGAUUAGAGCGGCCGAUGCCUGAUUAGCUUGUUGGUGGGGUAAAAGCCCACCAAGGCGACGAUCAGUAGCUGGUCUGAGAGGACGAUCAGCCACACUGGGACUGAGACACGGCCCAGACUCCUACGGGAGGCAGCAGUGGGGAAUUUUGGACAAUGGGGGCAACCCUGAACCAGCAAUGCCGCGUGAGUGAAGAAGGCCUUCGGGUUGUAAAGCUCUUUUGUCAGGGAAGAAACACCGGCUCUAACACAGUCCGGGAAUGACGGUACCUGAAGGAUAAGCACCGGCUAACUACGUGCCAGCAGCCGCGGUAA
This 501-nucleotide ribosomal RNA is filed under the name uncultured bacterium. RNAcentral's name for it is "partial 16S ribosomal RNA". It matches the Rfam family "Bacterial small subunit ribosomal RNA", at positions 29 to 523 of the family's 1533-position model. The record is from RNAcentral.